RNAcentral lists this ribosomal RNA (252 nucleotides) under uncultured bacterium. Its description in RNAcentral is "partial 16S ribosomal RNA". It matches the Rfam family "Bacterial small subunit ribosomal RNA", at positions 524 to 776 of the family's 1533-position model. The record is from RNAcentral.
UACGGGGGGGCAAGCGUUGUUCGGAAUUACUGGGCGUAAAGGGCUCGUAGGCGGCCAACUAAGUCAGACGUGAAAUCCCUCGGCUUAACCGGGGAACUGCGUCUGAUACUGGAUGGCUAGAGUGUGGGAGAGGGAUGCGGAAUUCCAGGUGUAGCGGUGAAAUGCGUAGAUAUCUGGAGGAACACCGGUGGCGAAGGCGGCAUCCUGGACCACGACUGACACUGAAAAGCGAAAGCCAGGGGAGCAAACGGG